CGGCGGACGGGUGGGUAAUGCCUAGGAAUCUGCCUGGUAGUGGGGGACAACGUUUCGAAAGGAACGCUAAUACCGCAUACGUCCUACGGGAGAAAGCAGGGACCUUCGGGCCUUGCGCUAUCAGAUGAGCUUAGGUCGGAUUAGCUAGUUGGUGAGGUAAUGGCUCACCAAGGCGACGAUCCGUAACUGGUCUGAGAGGAUGAUCAGUCACACUGGAACUGAGACACGGUCCAGACUCCCUACGGGAGGCAGCAGCU
This 257-nucleotide ribosomal RNA is filed under the name uncultured Pseudomonas sp. RNAcentral describes it as "partial 16S ribosomal RNA". It matches the Rfam family "Bacterial small subunit ribosomal RNA", at positions 96 to 355 of the family's 1533-position model. Lineage: Bacteria; Pseudomonadati; Pseudomonadota; Gammaproteobacteria; Pseudomonadales; Pseudomonadaceae. The record is from RNAcentral.